CAACGGAAUUGGAUGAGAGAGAAAGGUUGAGGCGGAUUAGGAUUUCUAAAGCAAAUAGAGGAAAUACACCAUGGAACAAAGGGAGGAAGCACAGUGCUGAAACCCUUCAACGGAUUAGAGAAAGAACAAAGCUUGCAAUGCAGAAUCCUAAGAUCAAGAUGAAGUUGGCCAAACUUGGACAUGCUCAGAGUGAAGAGACAAGAAUGAAAAUUGGAGCUGGAGUGCGAAUGAGGUG
RNAcentral lists this unclassified non-coding RNA (235 nucleotides) under Hevea brasiliensis (rubber tree). The record is from RNAcentral. Lineage: Eukaryota; Viridiplantae; Streptophyta; Magnoliopsida; Malpighiales; Euphorbiaceae.